GUGGUUCAGCUUUCUUUGGCAUCACAUGUACUAAAAUUGAAAUGAGGCAAAGAUUAGAAUGUCCCCUUCUGAAGGAUGACACACAAAUUCGUGAAAUGUUCCUACUUAAA
Meriones unguiculatus (Mongolian gerbil) is the source of this 110-nucleotide small nuclear RNA. Lineage: Eukaryota; Metazoa; Chordata; Mammalia; Rodentia; Muridae. The record is from Ensembl.